GUGGGGAAUUUUGGACAAUGGGCGAAAGCCUGAUCCAGCAAUGCCGCGUGUGUGAAGAAGGCCUUCGGGUUGUAAAGCACUUUUGGCAGGGAAGAAACAGUGCGUGCUAAUACCAUGCGCGAAUGACGGUACCUGCAGAAUAAGCACCGGCUAACUACGUGCCAGCAGCCGCGGUAAUACGUAGGGUGCAAGCGUUAAUCGGAAUUACUGGGCGUAAAGCGUGCGCAGGCGGCUUUGUAAGACGGAUGUGAAAGCCCCGGGCUCAACCUGGGAAGUGCAUUCGUGACUGCAAGGCUAGGGUGUGUCAGAGGGAGGUGGAAUUCCGCGUGUAGCAGUGAAAUGCGUAGAGAUGCGGAGGAACACCGAUGGCGAAGGCAGCCUCCUGGGAUAACACUGACGCUCAGGCACGAAAGCGUGGGGAGCAAACAGGAUUAGAAACCCCAGUAGUCC
Molecule: ribosomal RNA, 450 nt
Filed under: uncultured bacterium
Lineage: Bacteria
Description: partial 16S ribosomal RNA
Rfam family: Bacterial small subunit ribosomal RNA
Source: RNAcentral